GGAUCAAACUUUUUUUUUUUAACUCCUUUUUUUUUUUUUUAACUUUUUUUAACUUUUGGAAUUUUAUUUAAAGAAAUAAUAGUGCCUUGGGCAAGAGCUGAAGCAUGGAAAAAUGUAUCCCAAAAGGUGGAUGCUUUGUGAAAUUAUAAGCGUGUGAAAACAGGUGGUUAAACUGAAAUGGUUUUACAGAUUUAAGUACAGAAGGUGCUACCAAAAACCUGUUAUAAAUCCUCAAUUGAACUCUUCUUGAAAGGCCGAGGUAGGAGGAACAGGCCAUCAGCAAGUAACCUGAACCACUACCAAACCCACAGGCGACUCAAGAACCAGUAAAGACGCCAAGCAAAAUGAGAAGAGGCUUUCUGAGAGGUCAGCAAGGGAGCCAAGUCCAGGCCCAGCCUUCAGUAUAUAAACUCAGUCUCAAAAACUACACCCUAGUGACCGACGUCUGGCUGGGACAAAUUUUACAUACAGCACCUGAUCCAAAGUCAGUGGCAAGUGCUUUGCAAACUCCUCAGUGUUGGAUCGGGGCUUUAAACGUGCAGCCAGGAAGAAAAACAUAUAAGCACUGUGCUGCAGCACGCUGAAGGGUAGACAAAGAGCAAGAGCCAAAAUCACAGUGCCCUUUGCCAUGAAAAGUGGUGGGCGUAUUGCUGAAGGUGGAAACACUGAGAGGAGCCCUGUUUGUUCUAUUCUUGGUCUGCACAGAAAAGAGCUUUUCAGUUGGCUGAAUGGUUUCCAGUGAGCACAACGUGCGGCUGUCACUGUCCUCUUUACUAUGAAGUGUGUUCCUACUGGAGCCCAGCAUCUCAGGAGCACAUCUUCUGGGAAGAUUCAGCUAAAAUAAAUAAGAAAAUUCAAUUAGUGAAAUGUUAUAUGAGUGAAAGUUCCUUUCUCUUCAGAUGAACAUGCCUGUGUGUGUGCGUGUAUGUUCCAAAGGAUGCUUGACUCCACAUUCUAUACUGGGAGGCUGCCUAUUGCUCUAUCCCUUCUUCACAUGUCCUAGCAGAAAUGAAGGCCAUCCCCAACAUGCCUGACCCCCUUGAGCUCAGCUUUGUUUCAAUGAGGUUCUCCCAGAGGGCACAGCAGCCAGGGGCAGUGGGGCUCCAGCCCCACUCUUUGCUCCCAGCUCCGUUAUUAAUGUGCGCUGGCGCAGAGCUUUCAGGCUCGCCAGGUCGCCAGGAAUGAGCUGAUUGCUGUCGUGUUACUAAAAUGUAAGUGUGAUUAUGAAGUGUUAUGAUAUAUGGUCUGCAGAGUUUUACAGCUGCGUCUUAAAAGGCUCAUAACAUGAAAAAAAAAGAAAAAAAAACACUGGGGAGGAGAGGGCUUAAACUAGAAGGCAGGAAUAUAGUCAAAUUAAGGGGUACAAUGGCAUUUCUAAUUAAAACCCCUUGGAGAGAAGGGAGGAAGGAAGUGACGUAACUCCCAGGGCUGACGCAGGAUGGUUAUUGCCCAGGGACAAAGUGAGGGAAAGACAAGCCAGAGGCUGGAGGUGAGACUUGGGUGAUAGGAGAUAAGGCCUUAAGCUCUUUUUCCACUGCCAUAGAGGAAGAUAUAACCAACCACAGAGACUUCACCAGUUGUCCGAACCCUUUGGUGCAUGGAAAGCAGUAAUGAAGACUUCAACCAAGGCAGAGAGUUGCAACCUCAGUGCCGACUGUGUGCACCUCACUUUGGUACAGAAUAGUGUGCUGGCAUCUUCCUGGAAAGACAGUGAGCUCCAUGAGAACCUUGCAAGCGUUUCCACCAGAUCUUGUGUACAGGCAGGGUUACCAAGUGUCUGGGCUGUAAAGUACACGUUGUUUUGCUGUGUAGCAGUGGAAAAAGAGUUUGGAAAGACAAAUCAUGAAAAAAUUCAUAAAUGAGCACGGCGCUCAUCGAAGCCAAACCUGGUCAGUUGUUUUCAUCAGUACGAAAGAAAUAUAUCCUCAGCAGGAGUGCAGGACCCUAUGACUGUGCCUUGAGCCCUCACAACUUUGUUUUUGGUCCCUUCAAAGAAGGAUGAGUCUUCAGGUCUCCUCACCAGCCUCUCCAAGCAGGACCUUAUUCUGCCACCUAGUAUCAACUCAGAGCAGCACCUCUCAUUCCAAGGCAGCAGUGAUACAUCACCUGUUGGGCAAGUAACUGUCCAACCAGUCAG
Molecule: long non-coding RNA, 2137 nt
Organism: Gallus gallus (chicken)
Lineage: Eukaryota; Metazoa; Chordata; Aves; Galliformes; Phasianidae
Source: Ensembl